AUUCAUCCUAAAUUUGGAGAGUAAGUUCUUGAAAUCGCCCUCUACAUUUCUACUGGUGUUGAUCUGUAUUUUAUUCUCUCUGUAGCUUGAGAUACCCACUUAUUGUAGAAAUAGAUCUUAGAUCUAUUAUUGUAAGCCAAGAUUAUUGCGAAUCUUGAUGUUGUUAGUCUCUAGUGUUAUCUGAAAAAGAAUUUAUACUGUAAUCUCAUUAAUAUAGUGGAAGUUUAUAUCAGACUACGGUCCCGUGAUUUUUUUCGAUUUGGGUUUUCCACGUAAAAAUCGGUGUCUCUUGUGGUUGGUUUUUGCUUUGGAUUUAUUGGUUUAUUUUUCUACAUAUUUAUUUAUGUUACACAUCCUAUUUUAAUCACACAAAGAGGGAAAAAGUUUUGUUUCCACUUAAUUUCCAACUGCUUGUGGUAGUCCCUUUCCCAACACGAACAAAUGAGGUCGAAGGAAUGGCGUUAAAACAUUAAAAGGAAAAUUUAUCUUGGAAGCAUAAGGAAGUAUACUUUCAUUGAGAACAAAAUGUGUCAAAAACUAAUUAAUGAACGAAUUGGACAACUAAUCUCUCAUAUAGGUAACGUUCCCCAUUGGAUCCAAUCUACUGCGUAAACCAAGAAAAAUGAAUUGUACAAGAAAUAAAAAAAAUUGUCAUGUCACCAAUCAUUGCUUUUUAUAGCAACAUCAUGAUCCAUUCAACCCAGAAGUGAGAUUAAUGAAGAUGUCUUCUCUGUAGGGAAUAGUGAGACCACCCAUUGGAUUAUUGUAACCAAAUUCUUCUUCAGCUUUUGAUAACAAUUCUUGAAAUGGAGGCUGACUCAAGAAUGACACAGGUGUUGAUGCGAGUUUCUGGUUUUCUACUCGUCCACGACCAGGAUCUCUCCUCAACUAACUCAUCUACGACCAGGAUCUCUCCUCGUAAGAGUCCCUCUCCGCAAACUCCUGCGUACACAAAGACAGGUCAGAGCACGCUGGGUGUUUUCCCGGCGUAAACCCUCCGACGCUCAAGUCAGAAAUAUAAACUUUGCCUUUUUGGGAAAAACGACCACUAAUCUUAUGGCUCUUUUUGUAUCUCUCGGUAGAAAAACUCUUUUCUUAAGUUCUAAUUUCCAAAAAUCUAACCCUUUUACCUUCGUUGGUUACCUUUUUAUAGGCUUCUCUUGAAUUCGGGCCUUCCCACGAUCCACGUCCAUCACCUUCCCGACUCUUGGAAGUGGAUGCUCCAUUAUCGUAGUCGUGGCUGGAUGGACUUCGUGCCUGAUUCUCAGGCAGGAGUGCACGUCUCACCAACCGUCAUUGACCGGGUCUCCCCACCUCAACCUCGAGCAGGAAUGACCUUAUGCUCCUAGUAGGAGGCCGGCUCCUGCUGUGGCCCCGUGGAGGGUACAUUCGUGAACGAGCAGAGUAGUCUUGUUCGUAUUCACCUGCUACCAGGCUUCUGUAAAAUAUACCUAUUCGCGGAAUCCGGCUACCUGAUACUUGCUCGUCAUGGCUGGCCUUGUCGAAGUAUAUCCCCCAAACACCGGUCCCCCAAUUUCUGGUGUUGGGUAACGUAGUGGACCAGCAGUAGAAAUUCAACAAUUCUGGUUCGUACAGGAUAAGAAGAGGCUUUGGGGAGUUGUGUCGCAUUUAAUUGCGGAUGAGGUGAUGUGGUAGAAAUCUAUCCCUCCAUUUGAAUUUCAAACCGAUGGCUAUGAGACCUUUGGAAUUCGUGCCGUUAAAUGCUGAGAGCCCAAGAGUUUGUUCCUCAUUAGGGAACCCAAAACCCCAAAAGGAAAACUCGUCUUUUAUCCCUCUUCUACCUCUCCGGCAACUGAGUCAUUCCCCUCCCUCGGCGCAAAAGCUACCGUCCUUGUCUCUAUUCGACUGGGCCACAAUUGCAGGUAUUAUUUCUAUUUCCUCGGUCUUGGAUAGUUAUAGAAAAUUUCUUUUCUCUCUGUUUUGCUUGGGUUGUAUUUGGUGAUAUUGCUCUGGUCAUAGUUUAGGAAAUGUCAAAAGGCAAAGAGAAGGUAAUUGAGAUUGAUGACGAUGAGUUAGACUUCUUGCCUAGUCUGCUCGCCGAUUUUGUCUUUGAUCCCGGGAUCCCCUUAGAACCCAUUAGAUCUAGUGUUGGGACUAGUGCUAAGAGGAUGUCUCCCCAAGUAACCUCCUCAACCAGCAAUAGCGGCGACGAGGGAUCUUCUGGUUUGGAAGCCACCUUGAGUGAGGACCAGGGAGAAGAUUCUGGUGAAAUGUCCUCACCAGGAACAUCGCGACCAGAUAGGAAGAGCAAAAUAGAAAGUAGGGCUCUAUCGGAGCAUUACGCUAUUGACUUCAUUACGUGCAUGACCACAGUAGACGACCUUGAUGACCUCCAGGCUAGGUAUGACAUUCCUGAUGAUAUACCCCUUAGGAUCCCAAGAAAAAAAGAUACUCUCAGCCGGCCUCCUAGGGGAUACGUUACUCUGUUUCUGGGAAGUUUUAAGUUCGGGAUGAAGUGCCCCAUACAACCCUAUUUUGCCCAAAUACUUAGUGGGUUGAACUUAGCUCCUGGUCAACUGAACCCCAACGGGUGGAGGGUACUUUUUGGUGUUUUCAUACUGUGGGACAGAUGCUGCCAUUGCGAGCCUACAGUUGAUGAGGUAAAGCACCUGUACCAGCUAAAGAGCAGCCCUAAAGACGCCGGCUAGUAUUACUUCAUGUCAAGUACCAAGACCAGGAAACCCAUAACUGAUCUUCUAACUGGUGGUGGUGGGAAUUGGAAGAAAAAAUUCUUUUUUGCUGGGGGUCUCUAGGGUCAAGUUACAUAGAUUGACUGGAAGAACUAUCGCGUCCCACUCCGUUUCGUGGUCCCAGGUUGCCUGCUCACUUUAGAUGUCUUGUAUCCCUAGUUGUUCUCAUUCUGUUGAUUUAUCUCUAACCCAAUAUCUGCUCGUACUGCAGGUUCUUAGGGUGUGCACUACCAGCUUAAACCUGAGCCGCUCAAGCAAGUCGAGGCUGUGUUAGCCAAUUCCUGCUUAAGCCGAGAGUUGCUGUCUACUUAUAACUUGUUCGAAUCUCGUUUGGUGUCCACUAACCUUACGAUGGAAGAUGCUGUGAUCGGGGCUCUGAAUCAGAAGCGUCCUCGACCUCAGGCUGCUAAGCGGGACCAGAAUAAGGAUGCUCCCAUUGCGAAAUAGGCGAACAUUGCGAAGCAAGUCCCCUCCUUGAGGACUCUACCACCUCCUCCUACUAAAGUCGGCGAAACUAGUGAAACAGCCCCUGACCCCACUUCUCCUUCUCCACCAGCUGGGUCAAAAUCUCGUCUGCCUGACAAUCAAGCAGAGCAUCUGGUCCCUUAUAUCAGUGAGUUUUCUAGGUUCGUGAGCAAAAAGGACUUGGAGGACUUUGACGGCAGCACUUUGGGUGAGCUGGUAGGGGCUAUGCAGUAUAGUAUUUUUCAUCUCGGCUGCAUGGCCACUUACUAUAAGGUGAAGGUCAGCCGCUAUGACCGAAAGAUGAGAGAGGACGUUCAAUUGGCCAAAACCAGAGCUGACGCUGCCGAGAAGAAAGCUGGAGAUCUCAACCUCGAGAAUCUCUCGUGCAGGCAAAGGCAAUCACUCUCGAGGAAGAGCUGACUAAGAUCAGGGAGGAUCUGUAGAGGCAAAAGGCUACUUACGAGGCUCAGCUCGAAUCUCUCAAGGAUUCCCACCGGGUUCAGGUCGAGAACUUGGAGAAGGAAGCUGACAACCAAUAUGACCAGGGGCUUCGGCAUUCUUAUUGCUGCAUCAUGGCCGUCCUUGGGAAGCAGCAUCCUGAUCUGAAGAUGGACGAGCUUGCUGCUGGUGUUGCUCAAUAUAUGGAUGAGGAGGCAGCCAAAGAAGAUGUCGAAGAGUUGGAGCCAAAUGCCACUAAGGAGGGAACCUCUCCUCCUCGUGCAAUUCCUACUGAUGUUGCCGAGGCAAGUACCCCUCCAGGGGCAAGUGGUGAAACCCCCCCUGCUCCUGAGGUGGAGCAGCCAGUAGGUGCGGCCCAGCUUACUGACCCGCCGUCCUCUUGAAUGUAUCUUGUGUUGUGGUUGUUGUUGAGUGUUAGAAAAUGCAUAUUUAUAAAGGAGAAAACCGUCAUUUUACAUUUCAAGUCUUACUAACAACCCUUACUUUUAUGUAUUUAACAUUCUUAUGAUUUAAUUACGUGUGUUUUAUUUUAAUUAAGUAAUUUAUGUAUUUUAGGGGCAUUAUAGUCAUUUCACAAUAAAGGAGAGAUCAGACGGCAAAACGGACAUCACUUUUGAACUCAGGACGGUCGAAAACCUUAGGAGGAGCAUAAAAGGAAAAAUGGCACUAUUCACAUGUACGGUACUAUUCACGUGUACGAUACUGUAUACGUUACUGUUCACGACACUGUUCACAUAGACGGAUGAUGACGUGGCAUUGACCGAUGAUGUGGCAUUGACUGAUGAGGUGUCACGAUCCUGUUGGACUAAAAUUCUUAUGUACUGUUGAUGGUGACGUGGCAGCAUAUCAGUAGACGAAAAAUCUCGCGUACGGUGCAUGCAUCACACAGGAUUAUUUUCAACCAAACCGCGUUACUGUUCAUCCGGGUCAAACCGCGUUACUGUUCAAAGUCGGGUCAAACCGUGUUACUGUUCAUCCGCGUGGUCAAACCGUGGACUGUUGACUGAUGACGUGGCGCAAUCCUGGGCGUCCAAACUGUUUUUAAUCCGAUGGCCAUGAUUUACUCCAUGUAUCUAUAAAAAGGGGGCCUCCCCCCCCCUAAUUUGAUAUCUCUGAAUCCAUUUUUGGGAUCCAUUUUCUGUAAUUCCCUCUCCAUCUUGUAUUUUCUUCGUAUUUUAAUAAAUUCCCAUUUUGCCCCUAGUUCAACUAUGAGUGGCUAAUUUUCUUUCAAGCUUGGGUUGAAGGUGAAGUCUCAACAUGUGUCAUGGGCUUUAUUUGGUAAAUUUAUUUUCUCUUCCCCUCUAGUUUUUGUGGAUGUUUUGACUUCUCGUCGACAAAUAAUACUAAUCUUGUCUAGUACCGCCUUGGUUUCACCGGCCCUCUAGUACAAGGUUAUUAUUAUUUGGCACGAUAAGCCCUUAGCACCAUAUUGAUUAGAGCGUGGUUCAUGAGGUGUGGAUUCCCCCCUCAUGAUUUAAUUGGCAUUAAUACGGAUUAUUUAGCCCAUGAUGCAUGUUGAUACGGAUCCAGAUACCCAAGUACGUCAUUUCAAUAUAAUUCUCAUCAAUUUAUUCUCGCCAUUUCAAUACCAAUUUCAGAAUUUAUUCUCGCCAUUUCAAUACCAAUUUCAGAAUUUAUCCUCGCCAUUUUAAUUUAAGUUUUAGCAUAUACCAAAUCAUUUCCACCAUAAAUCCAACAACCCAUUUACAAAAUUAAUUCUAAACACAAUUAAAAUCCACCUCCUCGUGGGAUCGACACUCGUCACCAUAGAUCUAUACUACAAUAGAUUCGUGCGCUUGCGAGUACAUUAAAAUUUGCACAACAGUUGUUUGUAUGUUAAGACUAGCAGCUUUUCAUAAUUACUGGCAGAUUAAUAAGAAUGUUCUUAUUUGCUUUCUUUCGCCUCGAGCUCUUGGCAAAUUAAUUUAUUUUUUGUUCUCCUAUAAUAUGGUCGAGCAGGUGCCGAAACGUUCGGCUUACCGUUGCCUUAUGUUUGAGAAUAUGCUCGCCUUCGCUUGGUCGAGCAGAUCCUGGCGCGCUUGGCUUUUGGUCUCGCCAUAAAACAUGCUUUGAGACUUAGCCUUUGUAUGCCUUAGGAAUUUUUACAACACUUGAGGGUCUACUCGCCUUCGCUUGGUCAAGCAGAUCCUGGCACGCUUGGCUUUUGGUCUCGCCAUAAAACAGGCUUUGAGAUUUGGUGAGCCUUUGCAUGCCUUAGAAAUUUUUAUAGUACUUGAGGGUCUGCUCGCCUUCGCUUGGUCGAGUAGAUCCUGGCACGCUUGACUUCUGGUCUUGCCAUAAAACAGGCUUUAAGACUUAGUGAGCCUUUGCAUACCUUAGAAUUUUUUAUAGUACUUGAGGGUUUGCUCGCCUUCGCUUGGUCGAGCAGAUCCAAGCAUGCCUGGCUUCUGGUUUCACCAUAAAACAAGGUUUGAGACUUGGUGAGCCUUUGCAUGCCUUAGAAAUUUUUAUAACAUUACAACUGACUGAAAUUCCUCAUGGUUUCAUUGAUUAUUGAAUUCGGCUUACAUGAGAUUGAUUUAACAUAAAGCGAAUAGCAACAAAAGCGAACAGAAAUGACUUUAAAUCAGGAACGAGUCUUACUAGAAAUAUUUUCUUAGGUGUGCUGCAUUUCAGGGGCGUUUCACCUCAUGGCCAUCCGCACGAACAAGCUUAUAGGUUCCGGGUCCAGCUACCUGUUUGACCCUAUAUGGCCCCUCCCAGUUUGGUCCGAGUACUCCUUAUGUCGAGUCUUUCGUGUUUGAUUCACCCUUCUUAGUACCCAAUCGCCGACCUUGAACUGUCGUAUACACACCUUCUGGCUGUAAUACUGAGCAACCCUCUGCUGGUAGAUGACUGAUCGCUUCGAUGCUUGCUUCCUCUUCUCGGUCAACAAAUCCAGAUUCAGGCACAUCUGGUCGUUGUUUUCCUUCUCAUCGAAGUGAUCUGUACGGUGCGUGGUCGUCUCGUCCCUAUCUCGACCGGUACAAUAGCUUCAUGUCCGAAGGCCAAUGCGAAUGGAGUUUCGCCGGUUGUUGUUUUGUGGGUUGUCAUGUACGCCCAUAAUACACCUGGUAGCUCAUCAACCCAUACACCUUUUUUUGCUCCAAGCCUGGUUUUCAAAAGCCUCUUGAUUAUCUUGUUGGCUGCUUCUACUUGUCCGUUAGACUGAGGGUGAGCAGGCGAGCAAUACUUUAACUCUAUCCCGAGGUUCUGGCAGAAGUCCCUGAAAUUAUAGUUGUCAAACUGCCUGCCAUUGUCUGCUAUCAGGGCGUAAGGGAUCCCGUACCGAUAGACCAGUUUUCUCCAUACGAAGUCAGUUGUCUUUUUCUUUGUGAUCCUAUUGAGGGCUUCCACCUCUAUCCACUUUGUGAAAUAGUUUACCGCUACUAUUGCAUGUGUUGCAGCCCCUCAUCCCUUUGGCAAUGGCUCAAUCAAAUCAAUUCCUCAUUGAGCAAAUGGCCAUGGCGAGGCCAUGGAAGUGAGCUUCUCUGGUGGUUGGGUAAAGAAAUUUGCAAAACUCUGGCAACUCGAGCAACUCCUGGUUUUCUCCUGCGCAUCCUGGUGCAUCGUCGGCCAGAAGUAUCCCUGCCUUAAAGCCUUGUGGGCAAGGGACCUCGCGCCAGAAUGGUUUUCGCAAAUUCCUUCAUGUACUUCUCUCAGUACGUAAUCUGCGUCGUCCUCAUCCAAACGCCGAAAGAACGAUAGGGUAUAUCCCCACCGAUAUAAUACCCCAUCAAUCAUUGUGUACCUCGACGCCUGGGCUCUAAUCUUCCGAGCUCGUAACUUAUCUGGUGGUAAUACUCCAUCCCUGAUGUACGAGAUUAUCGGGUUCAUCCACGAGCAUUUCUGUUCUAUCCGCAGCACCUCCAAAUUAUGCUCGAUGCUAGGGCUGGACUUCACCUCCAAAGGGACUGACUUAGGCAUUUUCAGAUCUGCUACCGUUGCCAUCCUGGCCAGAAUAUCUGCUCGACUAUUCUCCUCCCUUGGGAUUUGUAUCAACCACCUCAAACUUCCUAAUCAUUUGCUUGACUUUCUUUAAGUACUGUUCCAUUUUCCCAUCUCUCGGCUGAAACCUUUCACUGACAUGAUUUGCAACUAGUUGGGAAUCAGUUCGGUUUUUACCUUAUCCGCUUUCACUGCCUUAGCCAAUUCCAAGCCCACUAUUAGAGCUCCGUAUUCUGCCUGGUUAUUUGUGGUAGUGAAUGUUAACCUUACAGCAUAUGAGAUCUCCUGCCCUUCUGGGCCUUCAAAAAACAAUCCCUUCUCCAGACCUCUGCUCCCUUGAGGAUCCAUCCACCGACACCUGCCAUACCCGAUCUUCGUUGUUGGCUGUAGCAGCAUCCAGCUGGUCAAAACCUAUUUCAGGCUCUGCGAAUUCUGCCAUGAAAUCGGCCAUUGCCUGGGCCUUUAUUGCUGCUCGGGGUUUAUAACUUAUAUCGAACUCGCUCAACUCUAUGGCCCAUUUCACUAGCCGAUCAGAAGCAUUCGGCUUGUGGAGAGUCUGUCGUAACGGUUGGUUUGUUAUUACUGAGAUGGGAAAUGCUUGAAAGUAUGGCCUCAGCUUCCGAGCAACAACCACAAGAGCAAGUGCCCAUUUCUCUAACGGUGGAUAUUUGGUCUCGGCACCAAGCAGGGCCUUGCUUGUGUAAUAUAUCGGAUAUUGAACCCCUUCUUCCUCCCUCACUAGAACAGAACUCGUGGCAUGAUCCGAUACCGCCAUAUAUAGGAACAGCACGUCCCCCUCCCGCGUUGUGGACAACAAAGGUGCUUGCUGUAAAUAUUGCUUCAAAUUCUGGAAGGCUUCUUCGCAUUCAGAGGUCCAUUCUGUUUUCUUUCUCCUCCUUAUUACUUGAAAAAAUGUCUGGCACUUAUCUUUUGCCUUGGAUAUGAACCGACUCAACGCUGCCAACCUCCCCGUAAGGCUUUGUAUCUCCCUCAGGUUACGAGGAGAUCUCAUCUGCACGAUUGCUUGGAUCUUCUCGGGAUUAGAGGUGACCUGGCCCCCUGCACCACUGCCUGAGGCAUAAUGGUCCUUCCUCUUAAUCGACCUAUUUCCUAGUAGAGCUCUCUUCUCUUUCCUCCUCAACCCUUCCAGCUGAUCUGUCUUAACCCGUGCUGCCUUCUCAUCCUCAAUCUCUAUGUCCCUCUUGGCCUAUUCGUAAGCAGCUGAAUAUGUUUUAAAAGCAAGAUUCCUCAAAUUGUACCACAGCCGUCCUAUCUUCACCCAUUCUUUCAAUCCCUUUAAUGCUUGAGGAUGGUUGAAAGCUCCCAAAUUGAGGACAACACGAUGGAACCUUUUGAUGAAUUCCCGAAGGGUUUCCUCCUCUCCCUGCUUCAUGCUCGUCAGCUCCAUCAUAUCAACUUCAGGUGUCAUUGCCCCACAAAACUGCUCCGUAAAUUGCUGGCACAUCUGCUCGAAGGAUUUAACGCUCCCUCGAGGAAGUUUCCGGUACCACUGACGUGCUCGUCCCUCUAGAGACAGCGGGAAACCCCGUAUCUUUGAGCUUGGGAUAAUCCUUGCACCCCAGUUAUGUCGUUAAAGCGUUCUAUGUGCACCAACGGAUCGGUUCGCCCCGAGUAUCUGAGGUCUGGGAGGCAAAAAUCCCUCGGAAUGACUGCCCUCAUGAUUUCUACCGAGAGUGGGGAUUCUCCAUCCAGCAUUAUCCUCCAACCAGGUGCUCUGCUCCGUCCUUGCAUAUCAUUUAUUAUCUGCGCUAAUCUGCGCACUUCUUCUUCCAGUUGUACGGUACGACCAGGGUCACGUGCUGCAACCUGAUCUCGCUCCUGGCCAACAUCGUGCAAGUGUUGCCGGAGUUCUCUUUCCUCUGCAUUCGCCACCCCGUCAUCGUUAUCAAAGAUCUGUCUUCCCGGGGAUUGAUCUUCUUCUCUAUGGCUUUCUCCCCGUAGAGAAAAGUUACCCCCCUCACCACCAAAUCUUUUGGUGGUCCGACCUCUCAUUAUAUUGUCGUGCCUUGGUGUCACUCUGCCACUUCUCACCCCCUCCUUUUGAACUCCCCUUCGUUUGCUUCUCAACUCGUGUAGGAUGGUUGUCAGGGUCUCCAUCUGUUACAUCCGCUCAUACAUUGCUUUUUCUCGUGCUUCGUUGGCUAUCUCUCUCAACGUCACGGACUCGUUAAGCCUCAAGUCACCUCCUUGUGCACUGCCUCCUCCUACAUCCAUUGUUCCCUCACUCCAUUUCCUCUUCUUCUCUCUAAUAACAGAAGCUUUUUGCUCAGCUCCCCACAGACGGCGCCAAAAUAUUGAUGCGAGAUUUUGGUUUUCUACUCGUCCACGACCAGGAUCUCUCCUCAACUAACUCGUCUACGACCAAGAUCUCUCCUCGUAAGACUCCCUUUCUGAUCUUUUCUGAUCUCUCGGUAGAAAAAUUCUUUUCUUAAGUUCUAAUUUCUAAAAAUCUAACCCUUUUACCUUCGUUGGUUACCUUUUUAUAGGCUUCCCUUGAAUUCAGGCCUUCCCACGAUCCACGUCCAUCAUCUCCCCGACUCUCGGAAGUGGAUGCUCCAUUAUCGUAAUCGUGACUGGAUGGACUUCGUGCUUGAUUCUCAGGCAGGAGUGCACGUCUCGCCAACCGUCAUUGACCAGGUCUCCCCACCUCAACCUCAAGUAGGAACGGCCUUAUGCUCCUAGUAGGAGGCCGGCUCCUACUGUGGCCCCGUAGAGGGUACAUUCGUGAACGAGCAGAGUAGUCCUGUUUGUAUUCACCUGCUACCAGACUUCUGCAGAAUAUACCUGUUCACGGAAUCCGACUACCCGAUACCUGCUCGUCAUGGCUGGCCUUGUCGAAGUAUACCCCCCAAACAACAGGAAUUAUGAAUCUCUUCUUUUGUGACCUCUCCCCGACAUAGACUACGAGGUAUCCUUUUGGCACAUCUCUAGACACCGAAGCUGUUGCUGCUUGAUUC
This 10561-nucleotide long non-coding RNA is filed under the name Citrus x clementina. RNAcentral describes it as "Citrus clementina (C. clementina) long non-coding RNA (CCLE_LNC000848)". The record is from RNAcentral. Lineage: Eukaryota; Viridiplantae; Streptophyta; Magnoliopsida; Sapindales; Rutaceae.